CCCUUAGAUGUUCUGGGCUGCACGCGCGCUACACUGAAGCUAUCAACACGUUUUCCCUCCCUGAGAAGGGCGGGUAACCUUUUGAAUCAGCUUCGUGGUAGAGAUCGGGGCUUGCAAUUGUUCCCCGUGAACCAGGAAUUCCUAGUAGACGCGAGUCAUAAGCUCGCAUCGAUUAAGUCCCUGCCCUUUGUACACACCGCCCGUCGCUACUACCGAUUGAACGUUUUAGUGAGGCAUUUGGACCGACGCAUCUCAGUUUAACCGCUGGUUUGUGUUGGAAAGACUUCCAAACUUGAGCGUUUAGAGGAAGUAAAAGUCGUAACA
Molecule: ribosomal RNA, 324 nt
Filed under: uncultured eukaryote
Lineage: Eukaryota
Description: partial 18S ribosomal RNA
Rfam family: Eukaryotic small subunit ribosomal RNA
Source: RNAcentral